This is a non-coding RNA of Arenimonas malthae CC-JY-1, 154 nucleotides long. The record is from Rfam. NCBI's taxonomy places the organism in Bacteria, Pseudomonadati, Pseudomonadota, Gammaproteobacteria, Lysobacterales, Lysobacteraceae.
CCCGCUAUGCGACUAGCGGUAGCCUAGGAAAGCGUGCGUAACCGGCAACGGUUUCGUGCGAAGCCUUUCCGACAAUGAAGCCCCCUGCAUGGCCAGGAGCGCGCAACCCGCGAGGGUGGUGCGUGGAACUGUGAGCAGCACUACGGUUCGGGAG